UCUCCAAGUCAAAUGGUUUGUUUAAGCGAGCCAUCAUGCAGUCAGGAACGGCUCUGUGCUCUUGGCAAUUCGGGAGGACCAUAGGUACAUAGCGGGUCAGAUCGGUAGCUUCUUAGACUGUCCUGGAACGACAGAGAAUCCGAAUUCUGCAGACCUUGUUGACUGCCUGAAGAAGAUCCCUGUUGAUCAACUGUCUGCUGCAUUGCUCAAACUGCCAAGCCCUUAUGUGAUGAGUCCUCGCGUGGAUGGUGAGUUUCUCCAGA
Molecule: long non-coding RNA, 263 nt
Organism: Penaeus monodon (black tiger shrimp)
Lineage: Eukaryota; Metazoa; Arthropoda; Malacostraca; Decapoda; Penaeidae
Exons: 3
Source: RefSeq, a predicted model, not a curated record